RNAcentral lists this unclassified non-coding RNA (248 nucleotides) under Hevea brasiliensis (rubber tree). Lineage: Eukaryota; Viridiplantae; Streptophyta; Magnoliopsida; Malpighiales; Euphorbiaceae. The record is from RNAcentral.
AAAUUAUCUACUUUUUUAAUCUUAGUUUCUGAUUUUUGUUUGAGCCUCUGACACCUCACAGCCAUAUAAUGCUGCUUUCUGCUUUCCCUGUUAUGUUUUACCCGCUAAAAUUUUAAUUUGUUGAAUACAUGCUCUUUGGAAUCUUAUGACUAUUUUUUAUUUUAUUUACCCAUGUAUCAAGCUUUAGUUUAUUUUCUGUUAUAUUUAGUCCAGUUUUAGCUACUUCUUCCUCAUCGCUUGACUGUGAG